GGAGGAAGAAGAAGAAGAAGAAGCAUAACCACGAUUUUGCGAAAAUCCAAGGAAGAAGAAGAAACAAAAUGAAAUAUAGCAAGUUGGUGGCAGUAAAUUGAUGGCAAUAAAUUGGAGUGAAAGUAAUUGGUGGAGUAAUUAGGUGACUUUACUAUAUUGGUGGCUGGUGACAAUAAAUUGGAGUACUUGAUGGAGUAAUUAGUUGACUUUACUAUGUUAGUGGAGUCAUUAGUGGCAGUAAUUAUAAUAAAUACAAUUCCAUAAAACAAUUAUAAUAAAGACAAAGUAAUUUAUAAGCAGAUUUGAAAAUUAUAUUUUUCUAGUAGUUAAUAAUAAUAAUAAUAAUAAUA
RNAcentral lists this unclassified non-coding RNA (350 nucleotides) under Hevea brasiliensis (rubber tree). The record is from RNAcentral. Lineage: Eukaryota; Viridiplantae; Streptophyta; Magnoliopsida; Malpighiales; Euphorbiaceae.